AGAGUUUGAUCCUGGCUCAGAAUCAACGCUGGCGGCGCGCUUAACACAUGCAAGUCGCACGAGAAAGUGGAGCAAUCCAUGAGUACAGUGGCGUACGGGUGAGUAACACGUGGAUCAUCUACCUCUUGGUGGGGAAUAACCCUGGGAAACCGGGGCUAAUACCGCAUAAGCCUGCAAAGGGAAAGCAGCAAUGCGCCGAGAGAGGAGUCCGCGGCCGAUUAGCUGGUUGGUAGGGUAAUGGCCUACCAAGGCAAUGAUCGGUAGCCGGCCUGAGAGGGCACACGGCCACACUGGCACUGAAACACGGGCCAGACUCCUACGGGAGGCAGCAGUGGGGAAUCUUGCACGAUGGGGGAAACCCUGAUGCAGCGACGCCGCGUGAGCGAUGAAGCCCUUCGGGGUGUAAAGCUCUUUCGGCAGGAACGAUUAUGACGGUACCUGCAGAAGAAGCUGCGGCUAACUACGUGCCAGCAGCCGCGGUAAUACGUAGGCAGCGAGCGUUGUUCGGAAUUACUGGGCGUAAAGAGUGUGUAGGCGGUUCUCCAAGUUCGGUGUGAAAUCUCCCGGCUUAACUGGGAGGGUGCGCCGGAAACUGGAGGGCUGGAGUAUGGGAGAGGAAAGCGGAAUUCCUGGUGUAGCGGUGAAAUGCGUAGAUAUCAGGAGGAACACCUGCGGUGUAGACAGCUUUCUGGACCAUCACUGACGCUGAGACACGAAAGCGUGGGUAGCAAACAGGAUUAGAUACCCUGGUAGUCCACGCCCUAAACGAUGCAUACUUGGUGUGAGCCGUUCAUUCGGUUCGUGCCGGAGUUAACGCGUUAAGUAUGCCGCCUGGGGAGUACGUCGCAAGGCUGAACUCAAAGGAAUUGACGGGGGCCGCACAAGCGGUGGAGCAUGUGGUUCAAUUCGACGCAACGCGAAGAACCUU
Molecule: ribosomal RNA, 928 nt
Filed under: uncultured bacterium
Lineage: Bacteria
Description: bacterial SSU rRNA
Rfam family: Bacterial small subunit ribosomal RNA
Source: RNAcentral